CAGCACCUCAAGUGGUCAGGAUGAUUAUUGGGCCUAAAGCAUCCGUAGCCGGCGCUGUAAGUUUUCGGUUAAAUCUGUACGCUCAACGUACAGGCUGCCGGGAAUACUGCAGCGCUAGGGAGUGGGAGAGGUAGACGGUACUCGGUAGGAAGGGGUAAAAUCCUUUGAUCUAUCGAUGACCACCUGUGGCGAAGGCGGUCUACCAGAACACGUCCGACGGUGAGGGAUGAAAGCUGGGGGAGCAAACCGGAUUAGAUACCCGAGUAGUCC
RNAcentral lists this ribosomal RNA (270 nucleotides) under uncultured archaeon. RNAcentral describes it as "partial 16S ribosomal RNA". It matches the Rfam family "Archaeal small subunit ribosomal RNA", at positions 477 to 747 of the family's 1478-position model. The record is from RNAcentral.